AUACGGAGGAUACGAGCGUUAUCCGGAUUUAUUGGGGUUAAAGGGUGCGCAGGCGGCCAUUUAAGUCAGCGGUUAAAUCGUGGGGCUCAACCCCAUUCUGCCGUUGAUACUGGGUGGCUUGAUUGCGGUCGAGGUUGGCGGAAUUCGUUGUGUAACGGUGGAAUGCAUAGAUAUGACGAAGAACACCGAUUGCGUAGGCAGCUGACCAGACCGCAAAUGACGCUCAUGCACGAAAGUGCGGGGAUCGAACAGGAUUAGAUACCCUGGUAGUCCGCACAGUAAACGAUGAAUACUUGUUUUCGGCGAUAUAAUGUCGGAGGCAAAGCGAAAGCGAUAAGUAUUCCACCUGGGGAGUACGCCGGCAACGGUGAAACUCAAAUGAAUUGACGGGG
Molecule: ribosomal RNA, 392 nt
Filed under: uncultured bacterium
Lineage: Bacteria
Description: partial 16S ribosomal RNA
Rfam family: Bacterial small subunit ribosomal RNA
Source: RNAcentral